Zingiber officinale is the source of this 997-nucleotide long non-coding RNA. RefSeq lists it as uncharacterized. Lineage: Eukaryota; Viridiplantae; Streptophyta; Magnoliopsida; Zingiberales; Zingiberaceae. The record is from RefSeq and is a predicted model, not a curated record. The transcript has 3 exons.
UCCUCCGCAGGCGGCCUCGCGUGUCCAGUAACCUCCCUCUCUAGCGACGCUGCUAACCCCGCCCAGAAGCCCUUCAGGAAAGCUUCGAUAGGUUCAGGCAUCAAUUUGAUUACAUAGUGGCAACUCCUCCCGCCUUUCUCCCUUUGUUAUUUUUUUCCUGUUUCGGCGAUUGGUGUGUUGCUUGUUCGAGGAAUAUGGGGUUCGGUUUGGUUGAUCUUGAAGGGUUUGUCUCGUUUUGGAUGACAUUGAUCUUGAGAGGGAUCUUUUCUUUCUCUUUUCCUCUUGUCUUCCCCUUUGUUUGUUGCGUAAUUGAUGAUCUAGGUCUUGUUCAUGCGAAAAUUCUGGUUUUUUUCGGCGUGCGUUUAUUAUUUUUUUUUCUCGUCGUGCGUUUAUUUAGUUCACUGCCGCUCGGAGCUAUUCGUUAUACUUUAUGUGAUUCCAAAUCUGAUGCCUUUGCUCCUUUCGACAGUCAUUAUGCGUUUGGCGGUCAUCUUUGUAAAGUUGCAAAAGCUGCUUUCUGUUGCAUCGUAUAUACCAUACUUUUGUAUAUUUUGUAAAUCACCAUGUGAGUUUUAUGUAAAAUCGUUUUGUUCUGAGACAGGAUUUUGAGAUUAGCCUGACAUGAAUCUACUAGACUUUUGUUGUACAAGAGUUUCUGUUAUGAAGGAACGAAGAGCCAUAGCACUCGGUGCUUGUUUUUUGGACUUCAUGAAUGAUGAGGGAGGAAAGAGGCAGGCCCUUGCCGAAGUUUGGCGAGUGGGAUGUCAACGAUCCUGCUUCCGCAGAGGGGUUCACUGUGAUCUUCAACAAAGCACGUGAUGAGAAGAAAACUGGUGCGAAUACACGUGAAAUGGACUCUCCGGCUAAGGAGGAUCCAAAUUUUAAACCUGGAACUUAUUCUUCCAGGUCACCUUCUAGGAAAUGGUUUUGCUGCAUUCAAGGAUCCACAGAACCUUAGAGAUGGUUGGAUGCUUGUCACAUAGAAGUUACGGACUCA